This 291-nucleotide ribosomal RNA is filed under the name Salmonella enterica subsp. enterica serovar Ohio. RNAcentral describes it as "partial 23S ribosomal RNA". It matches the Rfam family "Bacterial large subunit ribosomal RNA", at positions 1 to 283 of the family's 2925-position model. Lineage: Bacteria; Pseudomonadati; Pseudomonadota; Gammaproteobacteria; Enterobacterales; Enterobacteriaceae. The record is from RNAcentral.
GGGUUGUGAGGUUAAGCGACUAAGCGUACACGGUGGAUGCCCUGGCAGUCAGAGGCGAUGAAGGGCGUGCUAAUCUGCGAUAAGCGCCGGUAAGGUGAUAUGAACCGUUAUAACCGGCGAUACCCGAAUGGGGAAACCCAGUGUGACUCGUCACACUAUCAUUAACUGAAUCCAUAGGUUAAUGAGGCGAACCGGGGGAACUGAAACAUCUAAGUACCCCGAGGAAAAGAAAUCAACCGAGAUUCCCCCAGUAGCGGCGAGCGAACGGGGAGGAGCCCAGAGCCUGAAUCA